AUUGAACGCUGGCGGCAUGCUUUACACAUGCAAGUCGAACGGCAGCGCGGGCUUCGGCCUGGCGGCGAGUGGCGAACGGGUGAGUAAUACAUCGGAACGUGCCCAGUAGUGGGGGAUAGCUCGGCGAAAGCCGGAUUAAUACCGCAUACGACCUGAGGGGGAAAGCGGGGGAUCUUCGGACCUCGCGCUAUUGGAGCGGCCGAUGGCAGAUUGGCUAGUUGGUGGGGUAAAGGCCUACCAAGGCGACGAUCUGUAGCUGGUCUGAGAGGACGACCAGCCACACUGGGACUGAGACACGGCCCAGACUCCUACGGGAGGCAGCAGUGGGGAAUUUUGGACAAUGGGCGAAAGCCUGAUCCAGCAAUGCCGCGUGUGUGAUGAAGGCCUUCGGGUUGUAAAGCACUUUUGGCGGGAACGAAAAGGACUGUGCCAAUACCACGGUUCGAUGACGGUACCCGCAGAAUAAGCACCGGCUAACUACGUG
This 484-nucleotide ribosomal RNA is filed under the name uncultured bacterium. RNAcentral describes it as "partial 16S ribosomal RNA". It matches the Rfam family "Bacterial small subunit ribosomal RNA", at positions 29 to 507 of the family's 1533-position model. The record is from RNAcentral.